UCCGAGUUGGCCCCGGCAGUCUCCUACGAGUCCCCGGCAUUACCCGCUGGCAACAUAGGAUAAGGGUUGCGCUCGUUGCGGGACUUAACCCAACACCUCACGGCACGAGCUGACGACAGCCGUGCAGCACCUGUGCUCGCUCCCUCGCGGGUCAGCCGACUUUCGCCGACUUACCACGAGCAUGUCAAGCCCGGGUAAGGUUCUGCGCGUUGCGUCGAAUUAAACCACAUGCACCACCGCUUGUGCGGGCCCCCGUCAAUUCCUUUGAGUUUUAGCCUUGCGGCCGUACUCCCCAGGCGGGGCGCUUAAUGCGUUAGCUACGGCACGGGUUCCGUGGAAGGAACCCACACCUAGCGCCCACCGUUUACGGCGUGGACUAC
RNAcentral lists this unclassified non-coding RNA (380 nucleotides) under uncultured Actinomycetes bacterium. RNAcentral describes it as "uncultured actinobacterium contains 16S-23S intergenic spacer region". The record is from RNAcentral. Lineage: Bacteria; Bacillati; Actinomycetota; Actinomycetes.